This 68-nucleotide transfer RNA is filed under the name Marmota monax (woodchuck). RNAcentral's name for it is "tRNA.Val". The record is from RNAcentral. Lineage: Eukaryota; Metazoa; Chordata; Mammalia; Rodentia; Sciuridae.
GGAUUGUGGCUCAGUGGCAGAGUGCUUGCCUCACAUGUAUGAUGUACUGGGUUCGAUGCUCAGUACCA